RNAcentral lists this long non-coding RNA (277 nucleotides) under Gossypium barbadense (sea-island cotton). Its description in RNAcentral is "long non-coding RNA (GBAR_LNC006895)". Lineage: Eukaryota; Viridiplantae; Streptophyta; Magnoliopsida; Malvales; Malvaceae. The record is from RNAcentral.
UUUUUGGAGAUUAAUCAAAAGAUCAAAGCAAAAGAGGUUUCUUCUGUCUAUUCUCAUCUUAAGUUCUUUGUUUGUUUAUUGUUUUCCUUUUAAUUUUAUUUUAUUUUUUAUACGAAAGUAAAAAUAAAAGUAAGAAGCUUACCCAUAUUUUCAUUACCGAAAAAGUUUUUUUUAUGAGGUCCGGCCGCCGUGUACGGUGGCACCGACGGCGGCCCGUGGGGGUCCGUGACCGGAGCAAAAUCGGACCAAUAGCCGGAUUUAGAAGGGAGGGAGAGAG